UUAGUAACGGCGAGUGAGCGGUAAAAGCUCAAAUUUGAAAUCUGGUACUUUCAGUGCCCGAGUUGUAAUUUGUAGAAUUUGUCUUUGAUUAGGUCCUUGUCUAUGUUCCUUGGAACAGGACGUCAUAGAGGGUGAGAAUCCCGUUUGGCGAGGAUACCUUUUCUCUGUAAGACUUUUUCGAAGAGUCGAGUUGUUUGGGAAUGCAGCUCAAAGUGGGUGGUAAAUUCCAUCUAAAGCUAAAUAUUGGCGAGAGACCGAUAGCGAACAAGUACAGUGAUGGAAAGAUGAAAAGAACUUUGAAAAGAGAGUGAAAAAGUACGUGAAAUUGUUGAAAGGGAAGGGCAUUUGAUCAGACAUGGUGUUUUUUGCAUGCACUCGCCUCUCGUGGGCUUGGGCCUCUCAAAAAUUUCACUGGGCCAACAUCAAUUCUGGCAGCAGGAUAAAUCAUUAAGAAUGUAGCUACUUCGGUAGUGUUAUAGCUUUUUGGAAUACUGUUAGCCGGGAUUGAGGACUGCGCUUCGGCAAGGAUGUUGGCAUAAUGGUUAAAUGCCGCCCGUCUUGAACCACGGACCA
RNAcentral lists this ribosomal RNA (573 nucleotides) under Hanseniaspora uvarum. RNAcentral's name for it is "partial large subunit ribosomal RNA". It matches the Rfam family "Eukaryotic large subunit ribosomal RNA", at positions 80 to 668 of the family's 3401-position model. The record is from RNAcentral. Lineage: Eukaryota; Fungi; Ascomycota; Saccharomycetes; Saccharomycodales; Saccharomycodaceae.